GUUGAACGCUGGCGGCAGGCCUAACACAUGCAAGUCGAGCGGAUGAAGGGAGCUUGCUCCUGUAUUCAGCGGCGGACGGGUGAGUAAUGCCUAGGAAUCUGCCUGGUCGUGGGGGAUAACGUCCGGAAACGGGCGCUAAUACCGCAUCCGUCCUGAGGUUGAACGUGGGGGUUCUUCGGACCUCACCCUAUCUGCUGAGCCUAGGUCGGAUUAGCUAGUUGGUGGGGUAAAGGCCUACCAAGGCGACGAUCCGUAACUGGUCUGAGAGGAUGAUCAGUCACACUGGAACUGAGACACGGUCCAGACUCCUACGGGAGGCAGCAGUGGGGAAUAUUGGACAAUGGGCGAAAGCCUGAUCCAGCCAUGCCGCGUGUGUGAAGAAGGUCUUCGGAUUGUAAAGCACUUUAAGUUGGGAGGAAGGGCAGUAAGUUAAUACCUGGCUGUUUUGACGUUACCAAAAGAAUAAGCACCGGCUAACUUCGUG
This 484-nucleotide ribosomal RNA is filed under the name uncultured bacterium. RNAcentral's name for it is "partial 16S ribosomal RNA". It matches the Rfam family "Bacterial small subunit ribosomal RNA", at positions 28 to 507 of the family's 1533-position model. The record is from RNAcentral.